Zea mays is the source of this 458-nucleotide RNA transcript. RefSeq lists it as uncharacterized. Lineage: Eukaryota; Viridiplantae; Streptophyta; Magnoliopsida; Poales; Poaceae. The record is from RefSeq and is marked validated. The transcript has 2 exons.
GAUCGGGACAUCGGAGGCGCCAGCAGAGCAGAGACAACAACGCCGCGUGCGGCGAAGUCUACGAGGAAACUGAGGAAGAGAAGCUAGGGAGCGAGGCGCGCAGCAGCCAGCAGUAGGCGACGAGACUGCAGCCAGUAGCAGAGAAUCACACUAGCCGAUCGAUUCGAGUGCACCCACGUCGGAAGGAACAAGUGGGGGCGGAGCCGCGAUGUCGGGGCGGCGGCCGGCGACGUGGGACCAGGCAGCGGACGACUACGACUACCUGUUCAAGGUGGUGCUGGUGGGCGACUCCGGCGUGGGCAAGUCCAACCUGCUAUCCCGCUUCACCCGCAACGCCUUCUCCCUCGACUCCAAGUCCACCAUCGGCGUCGAGUUCGCCACCCGCACCAUCCAGGUGGACGGCAAGACGAUCAAGGCGCAGAUCUGGGACACGGCGGGGCAGGAGCGGUACCGCGCCA